UACGGAGGGGGCUAGCGUUGUUCGGAAUUACUGGGCGUAAAGCGCACGUAGGCGGCUUUGCAAGUCAGAGGUGAAAGCCCGGGGCUCAACCCCGGAAUUGCCUUUGAGACUGCAUCGCUAGAAUUGUGGAGAGGUAUGUGGAAUUCCGAGUGUAGAGGUGAAAUUCGUAGAUAUUGGGAAGAACACCGGUGGCGAAGGCGGCUCUCUGGACCGAGACUGACGCUGAGGCGCGAAAGCGUGGGGAGCAAACAGG
This 253-nucleotide ribosomal RNA is filed under the name uncultured bacterium. RNAcentral's name for it is "partial 16S ribosomal RNA". It matches the Rfam family "Bacterial small subunit ribosomal RNA", at positions 524 to 776 of the family's 1533-position model. The record is from RNAcentral.